Molecule: ribosomal RNA, 254 nt
Filed under: uncultured bacterium
Lineage: Bacteria
Description: partial 16S ribosomal RNA
Rfam family: Bacterial small subunit ribosomal RNA
Source: RNAcentral
GACGGAGGGUGCAAGCGUUGUUCGGAAUUACUGGGCGUAAAGCGCGUGUAGGCGGGUCGGUGCGUCGGCCGCUGAAAUCCCCCGGCUCAACCGGGGAAGGGGCGCCGAUACGACCGGCCUGGAGCGACGUAGGGGGGACUGGAACUUCCGGUGGAGCGGUGGAAUGCGCAGAUAUCAGGAGGAACACCGAUGGCGAAGGCAGUUCUCUGGGCCGUAACUGACGCUGAGGAGCGAAAGCGUGGGGAGCGAACAGG